UAGCGCCGCUCGGUUUCGAUCCGAGGACAUCAGGGUUAUGAGCCCUGCGCGC
RNAcentral lists this transfer RNA (52 nucleotides) under Kluyveromyces lactis. RNAcentral's name for it is "partial transfer RNA". Lineage: Eukaryota; Fungi; Ascomycota; Saccharomycetes; Saccharomycetales; Saccharomycetaceae. The record is from RNAcentral.